CUGCCUUUCCAGCGAAGCGGGAGGAGGGACAGAAGGGAGCCCUUACGGAGCCCCUUCCGUCCCUCAUCCUGCUUCACUGGGAAGCCAG
Molecule: non-coding RNA, 88 nt
Organism: Podarcis lilfordi (Lilford's wall lizard)
Lineage: Eukaryota; Metazoa; Chordata; Lepidosauria; Squamata; Lacertidae
Source: the annotation of a GenBank genome assembly